CAGCCGCCACGGUAAUACGUAGGUGGCAAGCGUUGUCCGGAAUUAUUGGGCGUAAAGGGCUCGCAGGCGGUUUCUUAAGUCUGAUGUGAAAGCCCCCGGCUCAACCGGGGAGGGUCAUUGGAAACUGGGAAACUUGAGUGCAGAAGAGGAGAGUGGAAUUCCACGUGUAGCGGUGAAAUGCGUAGAGAUGUGGAGGAACACCAGUGGCGAAGGCGACUCUCUGGUCUGUAACUGACGCUGAGGAGCGAAAGCGUGGGGAGCGAGCAGGAUUAGAUACCCGAGUAGUCCCUGUCUCUUAUAC
RNAcentral lists this ribosomal RNA (301 nucleotides) under uncultured bacterium. RNAcentral describes it as "partial 16S ribosomal RNA". It matches the Rfam family "Bacterial small subunit ribosomal RNA", at positions 509 to 807 of the family's 1533-position model. The record is from RNAcentral.